GCCUCUGUGGCCUAAUGGAUAAAGGCAUCGGUCUCCUAAACCGGGGAUUGUGGGGGGUUCGAGUCCCACCAGAGGUA
This is a non-coding RNA of Schistocerca gregaria, 77 nucleotides long. The record is from the annotation of a RefSeq genome assembly. NCBI's taxonomy places the organism in Eukaryota, Metazoa, Arthropoda, Insecta, Orthoptera, Acrididae.